Cynoglossus semilaevis (tongue sole) is the source of this 3082-nucleotide RNA transcript. It is a transcript of the gene named glutaminase like, with no coding region annotated. The record is from RefSeq and is a predicted model, not a curated record. The transcript has 21 exons. NCBI's taxonomy places the organism in Eukaryota, Metazoa, Chordata, Actinopteri, Pleuronectiformes, Cynoglossidae.
CCGAGGUUUGGUCUCCCACCUGUGAUGCCGCUGUGUUUGGACCCAGGUUUUGCGCGGACCACGAUGCUGACAGAUCCACUCCUGUCCAGUGAAACUGGUCCAGUGGAUUCAGGUUCUGCUGCUGUUGCACCGGCUUGUUGACCUUUCACCUGGCGAAACAGGGCAACGAAUGACAGAUGGAUGUGGUUGGUUGGUCCUGCUGCAGCUGGGAGGGUCUGACACGUUUCUCCUACCAGUCAUUAUAGAAAGUUCCGACGCUGCACACAGACGCAGCGCUCAUUCACAGAAAACUGCGGAACACACCAACACACCUGGACCUGGACCUGGAGCUGCAGCAGACCCUGGACCAGGACUCCUCCAGCAUGGACAGCAGUCAGAGACAGGAGACAGAAGACGGCUCGUACCCGUGUUUUCAGAGAACGCCGUCACUCAGACGUAAGUGGAGGAAACGAUACGGAGGAUUGGACGGAAACAAGCUGCUGGAGCCUGACGAGGAGCCGGAGCCCAGAGACCAUGUGACGACAGACGACAGGACCAGUGUGAACCAGGAUGCUGCUCCUCGUCCAGCACCCAGGUGUCUGCUCCAGAACAAGGUCCAGACUCCAGGCCAGAAGCCUGUGAGCCUGGUCACUCCUGGAUCUGCAGCAGCCUCAGUGUCGUUCAGUAACGGUGGACUGAAGCCCCCUCUGCCCCAGGCUGUGGUCCAGCCAGAAGAUCGCAGUUUCCUGCCUUCACCCUGGUCUCCACCUCAGCAGAGUCCUUCAAAACGCAGAGCAGCUGCUGACGUGCUCUUUGACAGCUUUGCUUCACGUGGAAGAAUCAACGUCGGCCACUUUUUUGAGUCUGUGUGGAGCGCUGGACUCCAUCGGUCCGACCCGCGACUCAGGGAGUGUUUCUUCCACCUGAGGAAACUGCAGGACGCUGAGGGGACGGUGGACAGAACCGCCUUCCACAGGUGCGUCGCAGGCUUCGUCUCCUUCAUCCUGAAAGCUCUGCAGGGAAGAUUCGUCAUUCCGGAUUUUUCCACCUUCACUGAAGAGACUCAGAAGUUGUUCUCCAGGUGUCGUCAGUUCUCACCUGCUCAGGACAAAGACAAGCAGAAUGUGGACAGCAGCAGGUGGGCGGUCUCCAUCUGCACCGUGGACGGACAGAGGUCUGUACCUGCUGGACCACAGCGCCACCCUGGGCUGGGUCACGUAAACUACAACAACCUGUCUGUGUGUGUGUGUGUGUGUGUCCUCAGACUGUCUCUGGGAGACUGGUCCGGUCCAGUGUGUCUGGGUGACGCCUCCUGGCCUCUGCUGUACGGUGUGUCAGUGGAGCUGCUGGGAUCGAACCUGGUCCACAGAUACGUGGGACUGGAGGAAUAUUCCAGACAUGAGUCUCCCUUCUCCCUCACCAGGACAGGUCACAACACUAGUCUGAGAGUUCCUCACAGUCCACUGACAGAGACUGGAGCCAUUGUUGUAUCAUCUCUACUACAGUCGUCCAACCAACUUUCUACAGAUGAAGAGGAGAAAUACGACUCAGUGCUGAAUGUUAUUCGGAGACUGUGUAACAGAGAACACGCCGACCUGAACAGCAGCAGUUUUCAACGCAACAGGAAGAAGAAUGAACGACUCCACGCUCUCUCCUACUUCCUGCAGGAGAAGAAGUGUUUUCCAGAGAAGGUUGACCUCCUCUCAGUGUUGGAGCUGCUGCAGCAGUGCUCGUCCACAGAGGUGACCUGUGAAUCGGGGGCUGUCAUGGCCGCCUCGUUGGCCAAUGGGGGCCUUUGUCCACUGUCAGGUGACCAGGUGCUGUCUCCAGCGUCUGUACGGAGUAUGAUGUCCAUGAUGCAGGUGGCAGGGAUGAAGGAGUCCUCCACCGCGUUCCUCCACAAGACAUCGGUACCAGCAGUGUCCAGCGGCCAUGGAGUUCUGUUGGCUGCGGUCCCUGGAGUUCUGGGUCUCAUGGCAUUUUCUCCUGAGGUAGAUUCCUUUGGAAACCCCUGGAGGGCGCUGCACUUCUGCCAGGAAUGGUUUCGACUUUCCAACUCCACAGUUUUGACGUCAGGGCGUCCAGGCAGGUUCUGGUCUACAGACAGUGGAAGUCUGAGUCCGAGGGCUAUGACAUCAUCAACGUCCUGCUGGCUGCGUUCAGAGGAGACGUCCAGUCUCUGAGAAGGUAUUUCCUGUCUGGAGUAGACGUGAACGCCGUGGACUACGACGGCCGCUCCGCACUCCAUGUGGCGGCCGCUGAAGGUCACGCAGAGGUCAUACGUUUCCUGUUGGACAAUGCUGGAGCAAACCCUGCCCUCAAAGACAGGUGGGGGAGCUCUCCACUGCAGGAGGCCAGGAGGUACAACAGAGAGGCUGCAAUCCAGGUGCUGCAGGGAGUCAUGUGACCCAACCUGAACCACGAGUUCACUCUUUAGUUUCCAGUAAUUUUGCUAAAAAAGAGUUGAACUUUGUUUUAAAAAGGAAAUAAAAUAACAAUAUUGUGAUUAUUUUCCUGGAGAAAAUCAGUGAUUUCAGCUCCGACCAAACCUUUUUCACUAUCUUUGAUCAAACUUUGAACCUGUUCUUCUUUGAAUGAGAAAGAUUCAACUCUUUGUUCUCACGUCACCUCACACUGGUCAGUGGUGCUCAUGGUCUCGGCUCCUGGUGUUUUUAGGACUAGUGAUCAUGGUUUUAUCCAGACUCUGUUUCUGGUUCUUUUUACUGCAGUUUUUUCUGUUUCACGGCAGGAUUUAAUUCUGUUGUUCGAUUAUUUCUGUCUGAUUUCUGUCCUCGCGACCACGUCUUCCCAUAAGAUAAACAGCACCCCCAACAGGUGAAGUUAGGUUCUCCGCAUUUACGUUGAUACAUUUGAGCUAAGCUGUCAAUCAUUACUUUAAGUUUGACAAUUAGUCAAUGAGUUCUGACAGAUGUAAAAUAAAAUCUUUAUUUUCCUCCAGUGAUUCUUUAGAAAAGUUUCAGAAAUAUUUUUAAACACACACACAUACACACACACACAACUUACACCUAGAAAAUUUGAGGACAAACAUCUGAAAAGAGUUCCAGCACAAAAUCGGAAUUCUUCUUCUUCUUCUGUGGAGACG